This 497-nucleotide unclassified non-coding RNA is filed under the name uncultured Glomeromycotina. RNAcentral's name for it is "SSU rRNA". It matches the Rfam family "Eukaryotic small subunit ribosomal RNA", at positions 591 to 1092 of the family's 1831-position model. Lineage: Eukaryota; Fungi; Glomeromycota. The record is from RNAcentral.
CCAAUAGCGUAUAUUAAAGUUGUUGCAGUUAAAAAGCUCGUAGUUGAAUUUCGGGAUCAAUUUGUCGGUCGUGCCUCGGUACGUACUGGCAUUAUUGGUUUCUACCUUCUGAAGAACCUUGAUGUCAUUAAUUUGGUGUCUUGGGGAAUCAGGACUGUUACUUUGAAAAAAUUAGAGUGUUUAAAGCAGGCAUACGCUUGAAUACAUUAGCAUGGAAUAAUAAAAUAGGACGUUUGAUUCUAUUUUGUUGGUUUCUAGGAUCGACGUAAUGAUUAAUAGGGAUAGUUGGGGGCAUUAGUAUUCAAUUGUCAGAGGUGAAAUUCUUGGAUUUAUUGAAGACUAACUACUGCGAAAGCAUUUGCCAAGGAUGUUUUCAUUAAUCAAGAACGAAAGUUAGGGGAUCGAAGACGAUCAGAUACCGUCGUAGUCUUAACCAUAAACUAUGCCGACUAGGGAUCGGAUGAUGUUAUUUUUAAUGACUCAUUCGGCGCCUUACG